GGGUCUGUAGCUCAGUUGGUAGAGCAGCGGACUUUUAAUCCGUUGGUCCCGCGUUCGAGUCGCGGACGACCCACCA
Molecule: transfer RNA, 76 nt
Filed under: Acinetobacter baumannii 1032359
Lineage: Bacteria; Pseudomonadati; Pseudomonadota; Gammaproteobacteria; Moraxellales; Moraxellaceae
Description: tRNA-Lys
Rfam family: tRNA
About the family: Transfer RNA (tRNA) molecules are approximately 80 nucleotides in length. Their secondary structure includes four short double-helical elements and three loops (D, anti-codon, and T loops).
Source: RNAcentral